Molecule: non-coding RNA, 600 nt
Organism: Microcebus murinus (gray mouse lemur)
Lineage: Eukaryota; Metazoa; Chordata; Mammalia; Primates; Cheirogaleidae
Source: RefSeq, a predicted model, not a curated record
UCUCCAUUGCUUUUCCAUUCAUUCUCGCUCCGCCAUGCCCUGCUCUGAAGAGACUGCUAUUGUGUCCCCCAGCAAGCGGGCCCCGCUCGCGGAGGAGGGCGGCAUGCAGCUCCACUUUGCGGGGCUCUCAGAGCACGUCACGGCCCCGACCCCGACCCAGGGGUCCGUACGGGUUGCGGGCUAUGACCUGUACAGUGCCUAUGAUUACACAAUACCAUCUAUGGAGAAAGGGGUUGUGAAGACAGACAUUCAGAUAGCUCUUCCUUCUGGGUUUUACGGAAGAGUAGCUCCACGUUCUGGCUUGGCUGCCAAACAUUUUAUAGAUAUAGGAGCUGGUGUCAUAGAUGAAGAUUAUAGAGGAAAUGUUGGUGUUGUGCUGUCUAAUUUUGGCAAAGAGAAGUUUGAAGUCAAAAAAGGUGAUCGGAUUGCGCAGCUCAUUUGUGAACGGAUUUUUUAUCCAGAAACAGAAGAAGUUCAAGUUUUGGAUGACACUGACAGGAGUUCAGGAGGUUUUGGUUCUACUGGAAAAAAUUAAAAUUUAUGCUGAGAAUAGAAAAUGAGAAGUUGUACCCUUUUCUUCAAAUUAAAGAGUUUUUGCUU